AGUGAACGCUGGCGGUAGGCCUAACACAUGCAAGUCGAACGGCAGCACAGUAAGAGCUUGCUCUUACGGGUGGCGAGUGGCGGACGGGUGAGGAAUACAUCGGAAUCUACUUUUUCGUGGGGGAUAACGUAGGGAAACUUACGCUAAUACCGCAUACGACCUACGGGUGAAAGCAGGGGAUCUUCGGACCUUGCGCGAUUGAAUGAGCCGAUGUCGGAUUAGCUAGUUGGCGGGGUAAAGGCCCACCAAGGCGACGAUCCGUAGCUGGUCUGAGAGGAUGAUCAGCCACACUGGAUCUGAGACACGGUCCAGACUCCUACGGGAGGCAGCAGUGGGGAAUAUUGGACAAUGGGCGCAAGCCUGAUCCAGCCAUACCGCGUAGGUGAAGAAGGCCUUCGGGUUGUAAAGCCCUUUUGUUGGGAAAGAAAAGCAGCAGGUUAAUACCCCGCUGUUCUGACGGUACCCAAAGAAUAAGCACCGGCUAACUUCGUG
This 492-nucleotide ribosomal RNA is filed under the name uncultured bacterium. Its description in RNAcentral is "partial 16S ribosomal RNA". It matches the Rfam family "Bacterial small subunit ribosomal RNA", at positions 29 to 507 of the family's 1533-position model. The record is from RNAcentral.